RNAcentral lists this ribosomal RNA (454 nucleotides) under uncultured bacterium. RNAcentral's name for it is "bacterial SSU rRNA". It matches the Rfam family "Bacterial small subunit ribosomal RNA", at positions 28 to 526 of the family's 1533-position model. The record is from RNAcentral.
GAUGAACGCUGGCGGCGUGCCUAACACAUGCAAGUCGAACGGGGUAGCAAUACCCAGUGGCGGACGGGUGAGUAACGCGUGAGAAUCUAUCUCCAGGACGGGGACAACAGUUGGAAACGACUGCUAAUACCCGAUAUGCCGAAAGGUGAAACUUAUUUGGCCUGAAGGAGAGCUCGCGUCUGAUUAGCUAGUUGGUGGGGUAAGAGCCCACCUAGGCGACGAUCAGUAGCUGGUCUGAGAGGAUGAGCAGCCACACUGGGACUGAGACACGGCCCAGACUCCUACGGGAGGCAGCAGUGGGGAAUUUUCCGCAAUGGGCGAAAGCCUGACGGAGCAACGCCGCGUGAGGGAGGAAGGUCCUUGGAUUGUAAACCUCUUUUCUCGAGGAAGAAGACAGUGACGGUACUCGAGGAAUCAGCCUCGGCUAACUCCGUGCCAGCAGCCGCAGUAACAC